GUAGCAAAAGAAACAUUGAAAUAUGUAAAAACUUCUGGGUUAUAAUAAUAUAAAACCCUAGCUAGUAGUAUAUAAGGGGCAGGGUGUAUACAUAUAACCCUCCUUAGUUGAAAAAGCUCCCACAGCAUAGAAAUCUUAAUUACUUCUCAAUAUAUACAAUUGCAUGCCAUCAGAAAUAAUACAUAAAACAUGCAAUUAUAUAUAUAUACACAAAGGUAGAGAAAUAAGUGCAAUAUAUAUUAAUUCUUGCUAUGGAUAAUGACCAAGUCUAAGCUCCAAAUCCAAUUCACCCACUUCAUUGUUGUUUUCUAUCUUGUCUUUAUUUAAUGGAUUUGUAUACAAGCUCAAACCCCUCCAAUCUUGUCCAAACAUCCUUUGAUUUUCAACACACAACAUCUCACUAUAUUGAACAUGUGAAGGAAAAUAUAUUUGAUGAUAAUUAAGAGAAUCUACCUCAGGAGUAGUUGUUGUGGAUGAAAUUGAAGAAUAAUAACCCCCUCUUGCAAGAUGACUUGGAUUAAUUGUUGAAUAAAAUCCAAGAUCUCCAUAGUUAUCAUGAUCAACUACUAAUUUGCUUGAACUAGGAGGAGCAAAAUUGGUUUUAGUGGCACUUUUGUUGUUAUUUGCUCUAUCUUUUCUAUGAAUGUUCAUGUGUCCACCUAAAGCUUGAGCAGUUGUGAAACCUCUUUUGCAAAACACACACUCAUAGGAUCUACCAAUUCCCAUGUGAUGAUCAUGAUCAUCAUCGUUGUUUUGGUCAGAUGAUCGAUCGAUGUUUUCAUCGCUCGAGCUCUUUGAAUCAUCUUGAAGGUAGCUGAAUUCCAUGGUGAAUUAGUUAUCAAAACCUAGGUUGUUUUUGUUGAAAUUUAAUUCUAUGAGAAGAUAAAAGAAAGUAGUAUGAGAGGGAAGAGUAAUAUAGAAAGAAGAAAGUGGAGAAGGUUUGAGGAAGAGACAAAUGAAGGGCAUAGGCAUUACCUAAAGAUGUAUGGUCAAGUGAAUGUGUGGUGUAAAGUGGAAAAGUCUUAGAAGUUUGCUUACAGAUUUAUUCUGUUAGCCGGCUUUGGAUUCAUCUCUAUAGCAAGACAUAUUGAGUUUUUUAAUUUUUUAUUUUUGUGGGGUUAAUAUUUUAUUAUCUUGAUGAUUAAUUUUUUAUAUUAAAUGUGAUUUAUUUGUCUC
RNAcentral lists this long non-coding RNA (1176 nucleotides) under Medicago truncatula (barrel medic). RNAcentral describes it as "lncRNA gene3955". Lineage: Eukaryota; Viridiplantae; Streptophyta; Magnoliopsida; Fabales; Fabaceae. The record is from RNAcentral.